Molecule: non-coding RNA, 1002 nt
Organism: Momordica charantia (bitter melon)
Lineage: Eukaryota; Viridiplantae; Streptophyta; Magnoliopsida; Cucurbitales; Cucurbitaceae
Source: RefSeq, a predicted model, not a curated record
CUCACCUCGAAAUCACGAGCGGCACGAGCAAAGGUGACGUUUCAUUCCAAAGAUGGCCAAUGGUGGUGGUGAGCCUCAACGGCGAGAUUCAACAGAGAUCUAGGUUCCAUGGCAACGGGCAAGCAGUAGCCGACGACAUCUUCCCCACAGCGAGCACGACGGAGCGAACCAAACCCACGAAUUGGGUCAUUUCUGUAGCAGGAUCGGCGGCAAUCGUCCUUCUGGCGAGCAAAUCCCACGUCAUGCGAAGCUGGCGGCAUUUGGCGUGUUGUAGCAGUGCUGACAUCGUUCUUCCCUGUUGUUUCUCGCGACCCUCACCAUCUGGCGACAACCCACAACUCACGGUACGUUCCCAUCAUUUUCGGACAGCAGCAGCGACAACAUCUCAGAUUCGUGAAGCCGGUGAGUCUUGACGUUUUACCAUCGUUCCGGUGACAUUAGGCGGUGACCCACACCUCGUAUGAAGCCGAUUUGCAAUACCCACCCUGUUCGGCAUUGUUUCGGUGUUGACCCACUCCUUUUUGGACUCAAAUCAGCAUACCCAUUCCUUUUCGGCGUAGGAGCAGCAAGCUUGAGGCUUUUCAAACUCAGUUUUGAAGUGUCGAGCUCUUUCGACAUCAACCCACUAUCAACCCAAGUGGUCUUAGCUUUUGUAGGUAUCGAGCUAACUCUUGGGAUGGUGAUGGUGAGGAGGAGACUUGACACUAAAGAGACCAUUUAGCGCCGUAUUAUUAAGUUUCAAUUUGGAUAGGAUAGUUAUAGUUGUUUAUUUGUAACUUGAGUCUGUUAAUAGAUUUAUAAAUUUGGUUGUUAAGUUCCAUUUUUAGAGGAUGUUUUAGGGCUGACAAUUCACUAUUCUUUGAGAACAUUAAGUGUUGUUUAUCUGCUUGAACUUCGAUGAUGUGAUCUAUUGGGGAUAUUUAUCAGGAUAAUAUAUUUGUUCAAGCUGAAUUUGAGUCAGCCUUUGUUUUGUUGCUAUUCGAGAAAGUUAGCUUUGUGUAA